GAUGAACGCUGGCGGCAUGCCUAACACAUGCAAGUCGAGCGAACGCACCAGAAGCUUUCUCCUAUGAGGUUAGCGGCUGACGGGAGAGUAACACGUGGAUAACAUACCUAUAAGACUGGGAUAAUUUCGUGAGACAGUAUCUAAUACCGGAUGAUAUUUUGAACUGCAUGGUGCAAAAGUUAAAGACGCUCUUUCUGUCACUUAUAGAUGAAUCCGCGCUGCAUUAGCUACUUGGUAAGGUAACGGCUCACCAACGCUACGAUGGAUAGCCGACCUGAGAGGAUACUAGGCCACACUGGAAUUGAGACACGGUCCAGACUCCUACGGGAGGCAGCAGUAGGGAAUAUUUCGGAAUGGGCGAAAGCCUGACGAAGCAACACCGCGUGAGUGAUGAAGGCAUUCGGGUCGUAAAACUCUUUUAUGCGGGAAGAAAAUAUGGGUAAGUAACCGUGCACGUUAUGACGGGACCUAAUCAAAAAGCCACGGGUAACUUCGUG
RNAcentral lists this ribosomal RNA (497 nucleotides) under uncultured bacterium. Its description in RNAcentral is "partial 16S ribosomal RNA". It matches the Rfam family "Bacterial small subunit ribosomal RNA", at positions 28 to 507 of the family's 1533-position model. The record is from RNAcentral.